GAUCUCCAUUCGUCCUCUCUCUCUCUCUCUCUCUCUCACAGCCAUUGAUGCGUGAGGCAGAGUAGUGGGCGAACCUCAGCCUCUUGGUCACAUUCCCCACCGAAUAUCUCUCUCAGCCCUGUCGGUGCUCUGUUUUUAUCUUCACCCCCAAGAACCAACCGGAUCUCGCUCGUUUGAGCACGACCCAGAAGAAGGAGAAGCGCAAUGAAGGUGAUCGAGAAGAUCAGAGAGUCCGCCGGCGUGUGCAACGGCGGCGGCAACGGCGGCGAGGGGAAGGUGGUGUUCUCGUUCGAGUUCUUCCCGCCCAAGACGGAGGACGGCGUGGACAACCUGUUCGAGCGGAUGGACCGGAUGGUGGUCCACAACCCGACCUUCUGCGACAUCACCUGGGGCGCCGGAGGCUCCACCGCCGACCUGACCCUCGACAUCGCGAACCGGAUGCAGAACAUGGUCUGCGUCGAGACCAUGAUGCACCUCACCUGCACCAACAUGCCCGUCGAGAAGAUCGACCACGCCCUCACCGCCAUCAAGUCCAACGGGAUCCAGAACGUCCUGGCCCUCCGCGGCGACCCCCCGCACGGCCAGGACAAGUUCGUCCAGGUCCAGGGCGGGUUCGCCUGCGCUCUCGACUUGGUGAAACACAUCAGAGCCAAAUAUGGCAAUUACUUUGGCAUUACUGUUGCUGGCUAUCCAGAGGGCCAUCCCGAUGUCAUCGGACAGGAUGGCCUGGCUACAUUGCAGGCUUACCAGAAUGAGCUUGCCUAUUUGAAGAGUAAGGUGGAUGCUGGAGCAGAUCUCAUCAUUACUCAACUGUUUUAUGACACUGAUAUUUACCUCAAGUUCGUGAAUGACUGUCGCCAAGUUGGAAUCCAUUGUCCUAUUGUUCCUGGCAUCAUGCCAAUAAACAAUUAUAAGGGUUUCAUUCGCAUGACUGGUUUCUGCAAAACAAAGAUACCAGCUGAAAUAACUGCUGCCCUGGAGCCAAUCAAGGACAAUGAAGAAGCUGUUAGAAACUACGGGAUUCACCUUGGAACUGAAAUGUGCAAGAAAAUUUUGGCUAAUGGAAUCAAGACGCUACAUCUUUACACACUCAACAUGGAGAAGUCAGCAUUGGCUAUAUUAAUGAAUCUUGGCUUGAUUGAGGAGUCUAAAGUUUCAAGGUCUCUUCCUUGGAGACGUCCUACAAACGUCUUCCGUGUUAAGGAAGAUGUUCGGCCCAUAUUCUGGGCAAAUCGUCCAAAGAGUUAUAUUUCAAGGACCAUGGGGUGGGACCAAUACCCUCGUGGACGAUGGGGUGAUUCCCGGAGUGCAGCGUAUGGGACACUGACUGACUACCAGUUCAUGCGUCCACGUGCCCGUGAUAAGAAACUUCAUGAAGAAUGGGUUGUUCCCUUGAAUAGUAUCGAAGAUGUUCAUGAGAAAUUUAAGAAAUUCUGCCUUGGGAAGUUCAGAAGUAGUCCUUGGUCCGAGUUGGAUGGCCUUCAGCCAGAGACAAGAAUCAUCAAUGAACAACUGGGAAAAAUUAAUUUGAAAGGUUUCCUAACAAUUAACAGCCAACCAGCUGUUAAUGGGGAAAGAUCUGAUUCUCCUUCUGUUGGAUGGGGUGGCCCUGGGGGUUACGUGUACCAGAAGGCCUAUCUGGAGUUAUUCUGCUCUCCAGAAAAAUUAAACAUCCUUGUGGAGAAAUGCAAGGGAUUCCCAAACCUGACCUACAUGGCUGUUAAUAAAGGAGGUGACAAAUGGAUAUCCAACGUCGGGGACUCCGAUGUGAAUGCAGUGACUUGGGGAGUCUUCCCAGCGAAGGAGAUCAUCCAACCGACAGUGGUUGAUCCAGCCAGCUUUUUGGUCUGGAAGGAUGAGGCAUUCGAAAUCUGGUCGAGGGGUUGGGCUUGUCUGUACCCCGAAGGCGACCCGACCCAAAAAUUGCUUCAAGAGAUACAGAGAAGUUACUUCUUAGUAAGCUUGGUAGAUAACGAUUACAUGAAGAGCGAUUUGUUCGCUGUGUUCGAAGAUAUAUGAAGUGUGUUGCUUGCUGCGGUUGAGUUGCAGUGGACAUGCCUGUAUUUUAAAUUUCCCUAAGUUCAGGUCGACAUAGUCCAUCAGCAUUCUCAGCAUGAACGACGCAGAGUAUUAUGAUGAUAAUGAUGAUAUGCCGUGAAAUGAUAUACGGCGAAAUUUCCUUGGAUUUUACGUGGUUCUAGUCUGGCAAACAUUGAACUUGUAAAUUUUGUAAAUUGCAAGAUGUUUUAUCGCGCUAAAGAAGUUAAGAUGGUUUGUAUCA
Eucalyptus grandis is the source of this 2281-nucleotide RNA transcript. It is a transcript of the gene named methylenetetrahydrofolate reductase 2, with no coding region annotated. Lineage: Eukaryota; Viridiplantae; Streptophyta; Magnoliopsida; Myrtales; Myrtaceae. The record is from RefSeq and is a predicted model, not a curated record. The transcript has 12 exons.